AACGAACGCUGGCGGCAUGCCUAACACAUGCAAGUCGAACGAGACCUUCGGGUCUAGUGGCGCACGGGUGCGUAACGCGUGGGAACCUGCCCUUAGGUUCGGAAUAACUCCCCGAAAGGGGUGCUAAUACCGGAUAAUGUCUUCGGACCAAAGAUUUAUCGCCUUUGGAUGGGCCCGCGUUGGAUUAGCUAGUUGGUAGGGUAAAAGCCUACCAAGGCGACGAUCCAUAGCUGGUCUGAGAGGAUGAUCAGCCACACUGGGACUGAGACACGGCCCAGACUACUACGGGAGGCAGCAGUGGGGAAUAUUGGACAAUGGGCGAAAGCCUGAUCCAGCAAUGCCGCGUGAGUGAUGAAGGCCUUAGGGUUGUAAAGCUCUUUUACCCGGGAUGAUAAUGACAGUACCGGGAGAAUAAGCUCCGGCUAACUCCG
Molecule: ribosomal RNA, 431 nt
Filed under: uncultured bacterium
Lineage: Bacteria
Description: partial 16S ribosomal RNA
Rfam family: Bacterial small subunit ribosomal RNA
Source: RNAcentral